GCAUAAGCCUACAGCUCGGCAUCGAGCAGAGGGAAAAGGAGCAAUCCGCUUUGAGAUGGCCUCGCGUCCGAUUAGCUGGUUGGUGAGGUAACGGCCCACCAAGGCGACGAUCGGUAGCCGGACUGAGAGGUUGAACGGCCACAUUGGGACUGAGACACGGCCCAGACUCCUACGGGAGGCAGCAGUGGGGAAUAUUGCACAAUGGGGGAAACCCUGAUGCAGCGACGCCGCGUGGAGGAAGAAGGUCUUCGGAUUGUAAACUCCUGUUGUUGAGGAAGAUAAUGACGGUACUCAACAAGGAAGUGACGGCUAACUACGUGCCAGCAGCCGCGGUAAAACGUAGGUCACAAGCGUUGUCCGGAAUUACUGGGUGUAAAGGGAGCGCAGGCGGGAAGGCAAGUUGGAAGUGAAAUCCAUGGGCUCAACCCAUGAACUGCUUUCAAAACUGUUUUUCUUGAGUAGUGCAGAGGUAGGCGGAAUUCCCGGUGUAGCGGUGGAAUGCGUAGAUAUCGGGAGGAACACCAGUGGCGAAGGCGGCCUACUGGGCACCAACUGACGCUGAGGCUCGAAAGUGUGGGUAGCAAACAGGAUUAGAUACCCUGGUAGUCCACACUGUAAACGAUGAUUACUAGGUGUUGGAGGAUUGACCCCUUCAGUGCCGCAGUUAACACAAUAAGUAAUCCACCUGGGGAGUACGACCGCAAGGUUGAAACUCAAAGGAAUUGACGGGGGCCCGCACAAGCAGUGGAGUAUGUGGUUUAAUUCGACGCAACGCGAAGAACCUUACCAAGUCUUGACAUCCUGCGACGGUGCUGGAAACAGUACUUUCCUUCGGGACGCAGAGACAGGUGGUGCAUGGUUGUCGUCAGCUCGUGUCGUGAGAUGUUGGGUUAAGUCCCGCAACGAGCGCAACCCUUAUGGUCAGUUACUACGCAAGAGGACUCUGGCCAGACUGCCGUUGACAAAACGGAGGAAGGUGGGGAUGACGUCAAAUCAUCAUGCCCUUUAUGACUUGGGCUACACACGUACUACAAUGGCGUUAAACAAAGAGAAGCAAGACCGCGAGGUGGAGCAAAACUCAGAAACAACGUCCCAGUUCGGACUGCAGGCUGCAACUCGCCUGCACGAAGUCGGAAUUGCUAGUAAUCGCAGAUCAGCAUGCUGCAGUGAAUACGUUCCCGGGCCUUGUACACACCGCCCGUCACACCAUGAGAGCCGGGGGGACCCGAAGUCGGUAGUCUAACCGCAAGGAGGACGCCGCCGAAGGUAAAACUGGUGAUUGGGGUGAAGUCGAAACAAGGUA
RNAcentral lists this ribosomal RNA (1303 nucleotides) under metagenome. RNAcentral's name for it is "bacterial SSU rRNA". It matches the Rfam family "Bacterial small subunit ribosomal RNA", at positions 171 to 1498 of the family's 1533-position model. The record is from RNAcentral.